Molecule: ribosomal RNA, 589 nt
Filed under: uncultured Filobasidiaceae
Lineage: Eukaryota; Fungi; Basidiomycota; Tremellomycetes; Filobasidiales
Description: eukaryotic LSU rRNA
Rfam family: 5.8S ribosomal RNA (bases 148-301)
Source: RNAcentral
GCGGACCUCUUCGGAGUCCCUAGCAUCAAAUCAUAUCCAUAACACCUGUGAACUGUAAGGCUGUCUUGAAAACGAAAGUGAUUAGAGCGCCUGCCCAUUUUAUACAAACAUUAAAGUAACAAACGUAGUCUUAUUAUAAUCUAAUAAAACUUUCAACAACGGAUCUCUUGGCUCUCGCAUCGAUGAAGAACGCAGCGAAAUGCGAUAGGUAAUGUGAAUUGCAGAAUUCAGUGAAUCAUCGAAUCUUUGAACGCACCUUGCGCUCUUUGGUAUUCCGAAGAGCAUGCCUGUUUGAGUGUCAUGAAAAUAUCAACCUUGACUUGGGUUUAGUGCUCUUGUCUUGGCUUGGAUUUGGCUGUUUGCCGCUCGAAAGAGUCGGCUCAGCUUAAAAGUAUUAGCUGGAUCUGUCUUUGAGACUUGGUUUGACUUGGCGUAAUAAGUUAUUUCGCUGAGGACAAUCUUCGGAUUGGCCGAGUUUCUGGGACGUUUGUCCGCUUUCUAAUACAAGUUCUAGCUUGCUAGACAUGACUUUUUUAUUAUCUGGCCUCAAAUCAGGUAGGACUACCCGCUGAACUUAAGCAUAUCAAUA